Molecule: long non-coding RNA, 474 nt
Filed under: Apteryx rowi (Okarito brown kiwi)
Lineage: Eukaryota; Metazoa; Chordata; Aves; Apterygiformes; Apterygidae
Description: lncRNA (ENSARWG00000005360.1)
Source: RNAcentral
GGGGUAUACACAGAGAUACAGCAGCUGUGAAAUGACAGCAUUUUUGCCUUCAGAUUGUAGGCUUCAUUUUAGCGUUUUUUAAUCCAGUGAAUAAACUUGGAACUGAGAGAGGAAGGGAAAGUUGUUUGCCUUUUCUCAAGGACAAAAUAGAGUGGGGAGUUCUCAAGUUGCCUGUUCUUUGCCACUAAAUCAUGCUUUUCUGUUUUCUUUGAGUGUAUGACCCUCCCUGUGACAAUGGUUUUAUCCUGCAGUACCUAUGGUAUCUUCAUCAGCCCUUGGUGUUUCAUGAAGAAAUCCAUCGAGUACAGGAAAUAUAAAAUACAGAGGAACUUUAUUAAUAGCCUGUGGAAGUACCUUGGUGUGAGGGCAGAAUCAUUUGAGACUGAUGUCUUCAUAUUGAUGCUGUGCUGCUUUUCAGCACGACCAGCAGAUGGAGAAAAAGAAAGCUGCAGAUACACCAUGUUCAGAAAGUGA